RNAcentral lists this transfer RNA (67 nucleotides) under Myllocerinus aurolineatus. RNAcentral describes it as "tRNA-Leu". It matches the Rfam family "tRNA". Rfam says of the family: Transfer RNA (tRNA) molecules are approximately 80 nucleotides in length. Their secondary structure includes four short double-helical elements and three loops (D, anti-codon, and T loops). The record is from RNAcentral. Lineage: Eukaryota; Metazoa; Arthropoda; Insecta; Coleoptera; Curculionidae.
AUUAUUUUGGCAGAGUAGUGCGCUAGACUUAGAAUCUUUUUAAGUAAAUUUUAUUUUACAAGUAAUA